Molecule: ribosomal RNA, 141 nt
Filed under: Anaphothrips obscurus
Lineage: Eukaryota; Metazoa; Arthropoda; Insecta; Thysanoptera; Thripidae
Description: partial 5.8S ribosomal RNA
Rfam family: 5.8S ribosomal RNA
About the family: 5.8S ribosomal RNA (5.8S rRNA) is a component of the large subunit of the eukaryotic ribosome. It is transcribed by RNA polymerase I as part of the 45S precursor that also contains 18S and 28S rRNA.
Source: RNAcentral
GUGGAUCCCUGGCUUGUGGGUCGAUGAAGACCGCAGCUAGCUGCGCGUCGGCAUGUGAACUGCAGGACACAUGAACAUCGACAUUUUGAACGCAAAUGGCGGCCCUUGACUUGUCUUGGGCCACUCCUGGCUGAGGGUCGG